AGCCAGACUCCUACGGGAGGCAGCAGUGGGGAAUAUUGCACAAUGGGGGAAACCCUGAUGCAGCGACGCCGCGUGAGUGAAGAAGUAUUUCGGUAUGUAAAGCUCUAUCAGCAGGGAAGAAAAUGACGGUACCUGACUAAGAAGCCCCGGCUAACUACGUGCCAGCAGCCGCGGUAAUACGUAGGGGGCAAGCGUUAUCCGGAUUUACUGGGUGUAAAGGGAGCGUAGACGGUGAUGCAAGUCAGAAGUGAAAGCCCGGGGCUCAACUCCGGGACUGCUUUUGAAACUGUGUGACUGGAGUGCAGGAGAGGUAAGCGGAAUUCCUGGUGUAGCGGUGAAAUGCGUAGAUAUCAGGAGGAACACCAGUGGCGAAGGCGGCUUACUGGACUGUAACUGACGUUGAGGCUCGAAAGCGUGGGGAGCAAACAGGAUUAGAUACCCGAGUA
Molecule: ribosomal RNA, 446 nt
Filed under: uncultured bacterium
Lineage: Bacteria
Description: bacterial SSU rRNA
Rfam family: Bacterial small subunit ribosomal RNA
Source: RNAcentral